GGUCGACUGGUGUAGUGGUUAUCACGUCUGUCUUACAACUACAUCGCACGGUGUAAUGUGAGGACACAGAAGGUCGCAGGUUCGAUCCCUGCGUCGAUCA
This 100-nucleotide transfer RNA is filed under the name Hypoxylon cercidicola. RNAcentral describes it as "tRNA-Val". It matches the Rfam family "tRNA". From Rfam's summary of the family: Transfer RNA (tRNA) molecules are approximately 80 nucleotides in length. Their secondary structure includes four short double-helical elements and three loops (D, anti-codon, and T loops). Further hydrogen bonds mediate the characteristic L-shaped molecular structure. tRNAs have two regions of fundamental functional importance: the anti-codon, which is responsible for specific mRNA codon recognition, and the 3' end, to which the tRNAs corresponding amino acid is attached (by aminoacyl-tRNA synthetases). tRNAs cope with the degeneracy of the genetic code in two manners: having more than one tRNA (with a specific anti-codon) for a particular amino acid; and 'wobble' base-pairing, i.e. permitting non-standard base-pairing at the 3rd anti-codon position. Lineage: Eukaryota; Fungi; Ascomycota; Sordariomycetes; Xylariales; Hypoxylaceae. The record is from RNAcentral.